This 337-nucleotide long non-coding RNA is filed under the name Lathyrus oleraceus (garden pea). RNAcentral describes it as "Pisum sativum (pea) long non-coding RNA (PSAT_LNC002365)". The record is from RNAcentral. Lineage: Eukaryota; Viridiplantae; Streptophyta; Magnoliopsida; Fabales; Fabaceae.
UGAUCUUCUGGACUGAAGCUUCUGCAACCUGUAUAAUGGCCUCCUCAAGGGUAGGUAUGGUAAGUUCAGGUUCAGGUUCAGGUGAAUGAGGUGGAGAGUUUUGAGGGCUGAGAUUUAGAGAGUGAGGUUCAGUUUCUGAUUCUGGUUGAGGUUCAGAUUCUGCUUGAAAUUCAGAAUCUGGUUCUGGUUGAAGACUGGGGGAUGAAGCAUAGAGUGGGUUUAGGUCUAAUGGGUCAGAGUCUGGUCCAGGUACAGCGGGAAUAAUUGGUGGGGUGAUAUAAGGAUCAGAUGGUCGAAUUACAGAUGGUUGGGUUUCAGAGGGUGUGGUGGUUGUUUG